GCAGUAGCCGCGGUAAUACAGAGGGUGCGAGCGUUAAUCGGAUUUACUGGGCGUAAAGCGUGCGUAGGCGGCUUCUUAAGUCGGAUGUGAAAUCCCUGAGCUUAACUUAGGAAUUGCAUUCGAUACUGGGAAGCUAGAGUAUGGGAGAGGAUGGUAGAAUUCCAGGUGUAGCGGUGAAAUGCGUAGAGAUCUGGAGGAAUACCGAUGGCGAAGGCAGCCAUCUGGCCUAAUACUGACGCUGAGGUACGAAAGCAUGGGGAGCAAACAGGAUUAGAUACCCCAGUAGUCCCUGUCUCUUAUAA
This 302-nucleotide ribosomal RNA is filed under the name uncultured bacterium. Its description in RNAcentral is "partial 16S ribosomal RNA". It matches the Rfam family "Bacterial small subunit ribosomal RNA", at positions 508 to 809 of the family's 1533-position model. The record is from RNAcentral.